RNAcentral lists this ribosomal RNA (235 nucleotides) under uncultured bacterium. RNAcentral describes it as "partial 16S ribosomal RNA". It matches the Rfam family "Bacterial small subunit ribosomal RNA", at positions 524 to 754 of the family's 1533-position model. The record is from RNAcentral.
UACAGAGGUCUCGAGCGUUGUUCGGAUUCAUUAGGGCGUAAAGGGUGCGUAGGUGGCUAGGUAAGUCGGGAUCGUAAAUCCCGGGGCUCAACCCCGGAACUGCAUUCGAUACUGCCUGGCUAGAGUACUGGAGAGGAGAUUGGAAAUUUACGGUGUAGCAGUGAAAUGCGUAGAUAUCGUAAGGAAGACCAGUGGCGAAGGCGGAUCUCUGGACAGUUACUGACACUGAGGCAGC